CUGAGUGAGGGCCCCGGCCCGACCUCCAACCCUGUUUCCACACCUCGUUGCCUCGGGGGCGACCCGGCCGUCCGCGCCGGGGCCCCCGGUGGACCCGUCCAACUCGGUUUUGCAUGCGUCUGAGUAGAAGGAUAAAUGAAACA
This 143-nucleotide unclassified non-coding RNA is filed under the name uncultured fungus. Its description in RNAcentral is "sequence contains ITS1, 5.8S rRNA gene". The record is from RNAcentral. Lineage: Eukaryota; Fungi.